Molecule: ribosomal RNA, 468 nt
Filed under: uncultured bacterium
Lineage: Bacteria
Description: partial 16S ribosomal RNA
Rfam family: Bacterial small subunit ribosomal RNA
Source: RNAcentral
GACGAACGCUGGCGGCGUGCUUAACACAUGCAAGUCGAACGGAAAGGCCCUGCUUUUGUGGGGUGCUCGAGUGGCGAACGGGUGAGUAACACGUGAGUAACCUGCCCUUGACUUUGGGAUAACUUCAGGAAACUGGGGCUAAUACCGGAUAGGAGCUCCUGCUGCAUGGUGGGGGUUGGAAAGUUUCGGCGGUUGGGGAUGGAAUCGCGGCUUAUCAGCUUGUUGGUGGGGUAGUGGCUUACCAAGGCUUUGACGGGUAGCCGGCCUGAGAGGGUGAAAGGCCACCUUGGGACUGAGAUACGGCCCAGACUCCUACGGGAGGCAGCAGUGGGGAAUAUUGCACAAUGGGCGGAAGCCUGAUGCAGCAACGCCGCGUGCGGUAUGACGGCCUUCGGGUUGUAAACCGCUUUCGCCUGUGACGAAGCGUGAGUGACGGUAAUGGGUAAAGAAGCACCGGCUAACUACGUG